CUCGUAGGCGGUCCAUCGCGUCGGGAGUGAAAAGCUGGGGCUUAACCCCAGUCCUGCUUUCGAUACGGGUGGACUAGAGGUAGGCAGGGGAGAACGGAAUUCCUGGUGUAGCGGUGAAAUGCGCAGAUAUCAGGAGGAACACCGGUGGCGAAGGCGGUUCUCUGGGCCUUACCUGACGCUGAGGAGCGAAAGCGUGGGGAGCAAACAG
Molecule: ribosomal RNA, 208 nt
Filed under: uncultured bacterium
Lineage: Bacteria
Description: partial 16S ribosomal RNA
Rfam family: Bacterial small subunit ribosomal RNA
Source: RNAcentral